RNAcentral lists this ribosomal RNA (466 nucleotides) under uncultured bacterium. RNAcentral's name for it is "partial 16S ribosomal RNA". It matches the Rfam family "Bacterial small subunit ribosomal RNA", at positions 28 to 507 of the family's 1533-position model. The record is from RNAcentral.
GAUGAACGCUGGCGGCGUGCUUAACACAUGCAAGUCGAACGAUGAAGCCCAGCUUGCCGGGUGGAUUAGUGGCGAACGGGUGAGUAACACGUGAGUAACCUGCCCUUAACUCUGGGAUAAGCCUGGGAAGCUGGGUCUAAUACCGGAUAGGAGCGUCCACCGCAUGGUGGGUGUUGGAAAGAUUUAUCGGUUUUGGAUGGACUCGCGGCCUAUCAGCUUGUUGGUGAGGUAAUGGCUCACCAAGGCGACGACGGGUAGCCGGCCUGAGAGGGUGACCGGCCACACUGGGACUGAGACACGGCCCAGACUCCUACGGGAGGCAGCAGUGGGGAAUAUUGCACAAUGGGCGCAAGCCUGAUGCAGCGACGCCGCGUGAGGGAUGACGGCCUUCGGGUUGUAAACCUCUUUCAGUAGGGAAGAAGCGAAAGUGACGGUACCUGCAGAAGAAGCACCGGCUAACUACGUG